AUUGAACGCUGGCGGCAUGCCUUACACAUGCAAGUCGAACGGCAGCACGGGAGCAAUCCUGGUGGCGAGUGGCGAACGGGUGAGUAAUAUAUCGGAACGUGCCCGGUCGUGGGGAUAACGUAGCGAAAGCUACGCUAAUACCGCAUACGAUCUACGGAUGAAAGCGGGGGAUCGCAAGACCUCGCGCGAUUGGAGCGGCCGAUAUCAGAUUAGGUAGUUGGUGAGGUAAAGGCUCACCAAGCCGACGAUCUGUAGCUGGUCUGAGAGGACGACCAGCCACACUGGGACUGAGACACGGCCCAGACUCCUACGGGAGGCAGCAGUGGGGAAUUUUGGACAAAUGGGGCGCAAGCCUGAUCCAGCAAUGCCGCGUGCAGGAUGAAGGCCUCGGUUGGUU
RNAcentral lists this ribosomal RNA (397 nucleotides) under uncultured bacterium. Its description in RNAcentral is "bacterial SSU rRNA". It matches the Rfam family "Bacterial small subunit ribosomal RNA", at positions 30 to 424 of the family's 1533-position model. The record is from RNAcentral.